GAUGAACGCUGGCGGCGUGCCUAACACAUGCAAGUCGAACGGAGUUAUUAUCAUGAAGUUUUCGGAUGGAAUGGUAAUAACUUAGUGGCGGACGGGUGAGUAACGCGUGGGUAACCUGCCUCAUACAGGGGGAUAACAGCCGGAAACGGCUGCUAAAAUCGCAUAACAUUGCGACACCGCAUGGUGAUGCAAUUAAAUAUUUAUAGGUAUGAGAUGGGCCCGCGUCUGAUUAGCUAGUUGGUAGGGUAAAGGCCUACCAAGGCGACGAUCAGUAGCCGGCUUGAGAGAGUGACCGGCCACAUUGGGACUGAGACACGGCCCAAACUCCUACGGGAGGCAGCAGUGGGGAAUAUUGCACAAUGGGGGAAACCCUGAUGCAGCGACGCCGCGUGAGUGAAGAAGUAUUUCGGUAUGUAAAGCUCUAUCAGCAGGGAAGAAAAUGACGGUACCUGACUAAGAAGCCCCGGCUAACUACGUG
RNAcentral lists this ribosomal RNA (478 nucleotides) under uncultured bacterium. Its description in RNAcentral is "bacterial SSU rRNA". It matches the Rfam family "Bacterial small subunit ribosomal RNA", at positions 28 to 507 of the family's 1533-position model. The record is from RNAcentral.